RNAcentral lists this ribosomal RNA (440 nucleotides) under uncultured bacterium. Its description in RNAcentral is "partial 16S ribosomal RNA". It matches the Rfam family "Bacterial small subunit ribosomal RNA", at positions 338 to 795 of the family's 1533-position model. The record is from RNAcentral.
CCUACGGGUGGCAGCAGUGGGGGAUAUUGCACAAUGGGGGGAACCCUGAUGCAGCGACGCCGCGUGGGUGAAGAAGCGCCUCGGCGCGUAAAGCCCUGUCAGCAGGGAAGAAAAUGACGGUACCUGAAGACGAAGCCCCGGCUAACUACGGGCCAGCAGCCGCCGUAAUCCGUAGGGGGCAAGCGUUAUCCGGAUUUACUGGUUGUUAAGGGGGCGCAGACGGCGAUGCAAGCCAGGAGUGAAAUCCAGGGGCCCAACCCCAGGACUGCUCGUGGAACUGCGUGGCUGUAGUGCAGGAGGGGCAGGUGGAAGUACUGGUGUAGCGGUGAAAUGCGUAGAUAUCAGGAGGAACACCGGUGGCGAAGGCGGCCUGCUGGACUGCAACUGACGUUGAGGCCCGAAAGCGUGGGGAGCAAACUGGAUUAGAUACCCUAGUAGUC